UCUUCGAAUUUCGAGAUAAUCACUAGAUCUUGAGACGAUUUAGAGAUCAACUAGAUCUACAUUAGAUAUUGACUAGAUGUGACUUGGAUAUCUAAGUCAUAACUUGUCGAAAUCGUUCAAGAGGACCUCCAGAAUCGCGGAAACGUCAAAUUUGACAUAUCUAUCUUACAAAUAUCUUUAAAUUAUCCGUAUCGUAACUUGUUGAAGUCUAGUAGAAAUCUAAUUCAUUUUCCGAAUCGAGCCGUCAGAUGUCAUCCGAACAUCAGAGUUUUCUACGCCAUAUCGAAAUGCAAUAAUUCAAACGUAUUACCUAUUCCAUUUAUCAAUGUAUUGCUUUAUUUCACUAAUGUAAAAUCAAAUGAAUUCCGCUCGAUAUUCUCUUUUGUCACUUUGAUAAUAAAUUAUACUGAAACUCGCAGAAAUCCAACGCGUUAUAAUAA
This is a long non-coding RNA of Cydia splendana, 440 nucleotides long. RefSeq lists it as uncharacterized. The record is from RefSeq and is a predicted model, not a curated record. The transcript is spliced from 2 exons. NCBI's taxonomy places the organism in Eukaryota, Metazoa, Arthropoda, Insecta, Lepidoptera, Tortricidae.